GAUGAAGAACGUAGCGAAAUGCGAUAAGUAAUGUGAAUUGCAGAAUUCAGUGAAUCAUCGAAUCUUUGAACGCACAUUGCGCCCUUUGGUAUUCCGAAGGGCAUGCCUGUUCGAGCGUCAUUAUAACCACUCAAGCUCUCGCUUGGUAUUGGGGUUCGCGGUCUCGCGGCCCCUAAAAUCAGUGGCGGUGCCUGUCGGCUCUACGCGUAGUAAUACUCCUCGCGAUUGAGUCCGGUAGGUGACUUGCCAGCAACCCCCAAAUUUUUCAGGUUGACCUCGGAUCAGGUAGGGAUACCCGCUGAACUUAAGCAUAUCAAUAAGCGGAGGG
RNAcentral lists this unclassified non-coding RNA (328 nucleotides) under soil metagenome. RNAcentral describes it as "partial contains 5.8S ribosomal RNA, internal transcribed spacer 2, and large subunit ribosomal RNA". The stretch from base 1 to 120 matches the Rfam family "5.8S ribosomal RNA", at positions 35 to 154 of the family's 154-position model. The record is from RNAcentral.